CCAGCUCUCCAAAUCAAAAAGCAAGCCAGUGUAUACAGGGCCCUUUACUUUUGUCUCCACCCACUUCUCCCUGUUCCUCUCUGCUGUCUAUGGCAGCCAGGCCAAAAUACUUGCAAUGUCCUGAGGAGACUAUGCUCUUUACCCUUGGUUGGCCUCAUCCUCUCUUUUAAAUUCCUGCUCAGCUUUCAAGACUUGGCGCAGUAUUUUUUGAAACCACUCUCUGUUCAUUUUGAGUGACUUCUUCCUUGCUGCUAAAAUACCUUGAUAUUCUUAUCUCGCAAUCAAUUCACAUUGUAAUAUUUGCUUUUCUUGUCCCUUCCUCAGAAGAUCAAAAACUUCAUGAUAGCAGGAAUGCCUUUCCUCUUUGUAGUUUCAGCUCCUAGCAGAAUGGUCGGCAUGAAAUAUGUUCUAUGCACAUCUGUUGAUUGGAGGGGACAUUAAUAAAGGCCAAGACUGUUAAGACGGCUAUUUUAUAGCAGUUUUACAUGAUGUUUAGCAAGAUGUUUGGAAGAGUCCAUCACUACCCAUAACAACUCAAAGCUAUGUCCUCCUGGUUUCGGGAUCAGUUUUGCUUUGUCACACAAAGGACAAUACCUUUUUAUUACGAUCAGUUCGUUAGAUUUUAUUGAUUUUUUUGCUCUAGUCACUUUCAAAAACAAAGUAGGUCAUUCUAACAGGAUGCCACAGAGAUUGGCUAUCUUCUUUCAGGGAAACGGGCACAGAGAUUAGCCCAUUCACAGUUGCUUUGAUAGAGAAACUGCCCACCAAAAGCAACAGGUACAUGAAGAGUCUCAGCAGACACCCAGCCCUGGGCCCAGUGGCAUGAAGUUUAUUUCAGAUAUAUAUGCCCACCAACAGUUCAUUAAUAUUGUAAAAAGGGGCAGCAGGGGAUACUGCUUGGGAACAGAAACUCUAGUAUCAUACAGACUUAUAUUUGAAUCCUGGCUGACAAUUACUAGCUAAGUGACUUCAAGUAAGUUAAUUUAUCACUGUUAAGUGUAUUUCAUUGCUUUAGAACAGAGAUAAAAGUACCUACCUUAGUGUUGUUGAGGAUUAAUGAGAUGCUCUUUACAAAUAGUACAUAAUACUCAGUAACAGUCACCACUAUUAGCAGGAGAACAAGCUCUAGAGAGGGUUCUAGUGGUUUCAAGGAAAGUAUAUCUAAGGACCUCAUGAAUAUUCUGCUUUGGAGAAGCCACCCUUUUCCCCAAGAGGUUGCUGAGGAAGCCUGCCAGUGAGGGCUGAGUAUCUGUUGAAUCAGUGAACAGGGCAAGGGCUAUUGUCAUUCCUAUCAGCUAUUUGGCAUCUAAACUGCCCUCCUGUGUUUUGAGGAAUUCAUACAUCCCCAAUGGAAGUUAAACAUUCUCACUUUCUGCAAUUAGGACUUAGGCACCUGACUGGUAAUCACAUCUACCUAUCCCAGAUUUUAAAUAAGAAAUUACUGACAUAAAGAAGCCAGGAACACAGAGAAUCCCUUCUGGUGAGGGUGGAACCCCUAGAUACAGUUCCAGAGGCAGCACGCAGUGAUGGUGAAGUGGAAAAUCAAGUUCCACUUUAUUAUUAGGAAUAGUGCCUGAGAUCCCAAUAAAAUGUUCUCUGAUAAAGUAAGCUCCAGCAUGGUACCCGAGGUCAAAAAGGAAAGGUGAGGAAAUGGGUCUGUCUCAUCCCCUAAACCCAAACUAAAAUCUCACCAACAGCAGCAAGUGAAAAAACUGAAGGGGAGAGCACGAGAUGUGGUGAGCCUCCACACCAGUCUAAGACUGUGGAAAGCAGAACGCAGAAAAGGAGCCAUAGUUCAGCCUGACUUUUCAUGAAAAGCGACUAGUAAAUAAAUAGGGGUGAUCAAUGGUAGAAUCUGACUAAUGUGGUUAGCAAUUCUUCCUACUUCGGAGGGCUUGAAGAGGGAACAAAAGUCAGGAAAUGAACAGGCACAUGGAGUUAGCCUUUCUAGUUUACAGUAACUAUUAAUGAAUGUAAGUGCUUCACGCCAGUCUGGGCUUUGAGCCAGUGCAUUAAGGUGGUACAGCCAAGGAUCUGAAAGGCACAGGAGUAUUAAUGAAGUAAUGGAGGUGAGGGCACAGUCAGACGUCCCGUCUGUGUUGGGCUGAACUACUGACCAAUCUGCCUACCUGUGAAGACUAAGAAAGCAUAGAAGUAGAAGAGUAUCAGAACAGGAUCAGAAAAAGGAAAAAUUCCAUAAAGAAGUGGUUAUAUGGUAUCGAGACAUAAAGAUCAAUUUAAGGACUAAAUUUUGGUAAUUAGAAGUCACUGGUGAACCCAGUGAGGACAAUUUUAAUGGUGGUGAGGGUAGUGGCCAGAUUAGGCAUGUUGGCUCCCAGCCCGUUCUGGUGUAACUGGCCUGUGGUUCAGGCAGAGGAAUCAGGGUUUUUAAAAAUCUCCUCUGAUGAUCCCCAUGAGCAGCCAGGGUUAAAGAGUUAAAAACUACUGCUUCAGUAGAUUGAGAAUUAAUGGAUAGAAGGUUCAAGAAAGAACAGUACUUUGGUGCUCAGAGGGUAGAGGAAAGGAAUUUUUGUUUGAAAAGGGAGUCUUUGAACAUGUUUAAAUGUAAGGCCCUACGUGUCAGGAGUGAGAAGCUAUACUGAGCAAGGUAACUGAUCAAGAGAGAGCACAGGAGAAGAGAUGGUUAGGGGCAGGCAGGCAUUUCCAAGACGAAGAGAUGAGAAAGGGCGUGCGUGGGGCUUUCCCGUCUAAGGCUCUAUUACCUGCUAGGGUAGGGGGAGAUAGCUGCUGGCACGGAGAAGUGGAGAUUCAAAGGCCAGUUUGCAAUAGCUGCUGACGACAGGUGGAGGUUAAGUGAGAUAAAUAUUUAGAGCAAUUCAAAUUGUCACCAUGAUUUUGGGGUGGCAGAUGUCUCUUGGAGAAAUACAUGGCCCACUGGGAGGAGCAAGAAUCUAUACAUGAGACAAGUUACCAAGGCUGUUUGUAAGUUCCCUAUUAUCUUCUUCCCUUUUUCAAUUAAAAACAUUUGAAUGGGGGAGUCUGCAAAAGUCAGAAUUCACUUCUAGGGAAAGAAAACAUUAAUUUUCAUAACUCACACAGUAAAGUUUUUAUACUCCCACACCUUGAUAAUCGCUAGUAACACUGACCUUCUUAGCCAGAGGUACUUUGAACUUUUUUUUUUUUUUAAUACAGAAAAGAAAAAAUUAUAUGGUGUUUUAGAAGAUUACAGAAAUAGAAGAGCUAAACAGCCUAUAAAUGUGCAUUAAUCAUGUUUUUUUAUUUUCUAAUAU
Molecule: long non-coding RNA, 3251 nt
Filed under: Sus scrofa (pig)
Lineage: Eukaryota; Metazoa; Chordata; Mammalia; Artiodactyla; Suidae
Description: lncRNA (ENSSSCG00015077540.1)
Source: RNAcentral